Molecule: long non-coding RNA, 518 nt
Organism: Nylanderia fulva
Lineage: Eukaryota; Metazoa; Arthropoda; Insecta; Hymenoptera; Formicidae
Source: RefSeq, a predicted model, not a curated record
UAAUUUACAAAUUUUGAAAAUAUUUAAUGAUGCCAAGGAUAUUGCUAAACCAGGAGGCAGCAAUCAGCAGCCACGUCAGAAUAUUAACCAAAGUUCUUUCAAAAUCACAUCACCAAGGUUAUCAGAUAUUUCAGAGUUUAAAAGUUCUGAUAAUGACAUAGAAAAUGUAGGUACAUCAGCAAUAAGCAGCUAUGAUCAGCCAACUCCGAAUAUUGAUCAAAGCUCUUCCAAUAACACAUCAAAAAGAUUAUUAAAUGAUAUAGAUUUAGAUAUUUCGAGUGAUGAUGAUGAUAUUGAAAAUAAUGCUACAUCAAGCUGUCAGCAAUCAUUUUAGAGUAUUGAUCCAAAUUCCCUAAAAAUUUAACUAACGAGAUUAAGUGACGAUGACAAGUUUGAAUGAAGACUUAAUUACUAACAAUGAUGGCCAAAUUAUUUUCCUUAAGGAAUAUGAAAUGGUAAUUAAAAUUAGGAUGCUUGCUAUUACGGAUAUAAUAAAAUAUGAAAUUAAAAAAUAAUUG